RNAcentral lists this ribosomal RNA (274 nucleotides) under uncultured bacterium. RNAcentral describes it as "partial 16S ribosomal RNA". It matches the Rfam family "Bacterial small subunit ribosomal RNA", at positions 523 to 796 of the family's 1533-position model. The record is from RNAcentral.
AUACGGAGGGUGCAAGCGUUAUCCGGAAUCAUUGGGUUUAAAGGGUCCGUAGGCGGGCAAAUAAGUCAGAGGUGAAAUCCCACAGCUCAACUGUGGAACUGCCUUUGAUACUGUUUGUCUUGAGUUAUAGUGAAGUAGAUAGAAUAUGUAGUGUAGCGGUGAAAUGCAUAGAUAUUACAUAGAAUACCGAUUGCGAAGGCAGUCUACUAACUAUUGACUGACGCUAAUGGACGAAAGCGUGGGGAGCGAACAGGAUUAGAAACCCCGGUAGUCC